UUGACCUCGGAUCAGGUAG
This 19-nucleotide ribosomal RNA is filed under the name Histoplasma capsulatum. RNAcentral's name for it is "28S rRNA". Lineage: Eukaryota; Fungi; Ascomycota; Eurotiomycetes; Onygenales; Ajellomycetaceae. The record is from RNAcentral. RNAcentral also lists the same sequence under 114 other names.